CAGAAAUCAAAAGUCAGCAUCACUUUCUGGCCAAACCAAAGGAACAACUUUAAGAUAAAAAGUGAAAGUUGAGGACUCUACAGUCAGUUAUUUCAACAUCACUGUGAGAUGAUUUUCUUAUAGACUUUCUAAAUUUCAAUGCCUUAGCCACUGCCAUCCAACUUCUAUGCAAAGAUAUGUCUUGGCUGGCUUCUACUGAAGUGAAAGACUUAUAGGACCUACUAUAAUCCUAUCCAGAGAGGAGAAAUGGCUUACAGGAGGCAACUACAUUCAUGAUGUAUGACUGUCAAAAGUGGGAGGUAAACUGAAGAAGAAGGAGAAGGAAGAGGAGGAGAAGGGGAUGAGGGAUAAGAAGGAAAAAGAAGAAAGAGGAAGAGAAGGAGGGAAGGAGAAGAAGAGAAUAAGAGGAAGCAACAGCAGCAGCAACAAAACAGGAAAUAUAUAUGAGAGCAGCUUUCUCUCAGCUUCCAACAAUGAGAGGACAAAUUGCGGGAGACAAGAUUAGCUCUGGCAAAUAUGACAAAGGACAUGGAAGUACUUAAAGGGAAAAUUGUGAAAUGACAAAAAACUGUAACAAGCCUGCAAAAAAAAAAAAAAAAAAAAAAAAAGGUAAUAAAGGUAAUCCUUCAAAUAAGAUAAUUCAAAGAUUGAAACUUGCAUGGCUCAGAGAUCUCAUUUUUUUUCUUUUCUUUUAAAAGACAUUUAUUUUUCUUCUUUCCCUUGAUAUUUGAAUAAAAUUUUCAAAGCUAAGAAAGACUUAUCGGCCAAACCAAGAAAAUCACUUAAAGCAAGAGCAUUUUGGCUGCUCAGAGGUAUUUAACAGAAAGAUUAAAAAUGUAAGUCUUUUUUCAACCCCUUGAUUUUUUUUUAUUUAGUAUGUUUUUAUAUUCUCAACACAAAU
This 901-nucleotide long non-coding RNA is filed under the name Macaca mulatta (Rhesus monkey). RNAcentral describes it as "lncRNA (ENSMMUG00000059126.1)". Lineage: Eukaryota; Metazoa; Chordata; Mammalia; Primates; Cercopithecidae. The record is from RNAcentral.